Molecule: ribosomal RNA, 254 nt
Filed under: uncultured bacterium
Lineage: Bacteria
Description: partial 16S ribosomal RNA
Rfam family: Bacterial small subunit ribosomal RNA
Source: RNAcentral
GUCCACGCCGUAAACGAUGGAUACUAGCUGUUCGGAGCAAUCUGAGUGGCUAAGCGAAAGUGAUAAGUAUCCCACCUGGGAGUACGUUCGCAAGAAUGAAACUCAAAGGAAUUGACGGGGCCCGCACAAGCGGUGGAGCAUGUGGUUUAAUUCGAUGAUACGCGAGGAACCUUACCAAGGCUUAAAAUGGGAAACGACAGGUUUUGGAAACAGACUUUUCUUCGGACGUUUUCAAGGUGCUGCAUGGUUGUCGU